CCUACGGGGGGCAGCAGUGGGGAAUAUUGGACAAUGGGCGAAAGCCUGAUCCAGCCAUGCCGCGUGUGUGAAGAAGGCCUUCGGGUUGUAAAGCACUUUCAGUGGGGAAGAAAGCCUUGGGGCUAAUACCCUCGAGGAAGGACAUCACCCACAGAAGAAGCACCGGCUAACUCCGUGCCAGCAGCCGCGGUAAUACGGAGGGUGCGAGCGUUAAUCGGAAUUACUGGGCGUAAAGCGCGCGUAGGCGGUCUGAUAAGCCGGUUGUGAAAGCCCCGGGCUCAACCUGGGAACGGCAUCCGGAACUGUCAGGCUAGAGUGCAGGAGAGGAAGGUAGAAUUCCCGGUGUAGGAGUGAAAUGCGUAGAGAUCGGGAGGAAUACCAGUGGCGAAGGCGGCCUUCUGGACUGACACUGACGCUGAGGUGCGAAAGCGUGGGUAGCAAACAGGAUUAGAUACCCUAGUAGUC
RNAcentral lists this ribosomal RNA (465 nucleotides) under Vreelandella stevensii. RNAcentral's name for it is "partial 16S ribosomal RNA". It matches the Rfam family "Bacterial small subunit ribosomal RNA", at positions 338 to 795 of the family's 1533-position model. Lineage: Bacteria; Pseudomonadati; Pseudomonadota; Gammaproteobacteria; Oceanospirillales; Halomonadaceae. The record is from RNAcentral.